RNAcentral lists this ribosomal RNA (465 nucleotides) under uncultured Klebsiella sp. RNAcentral describes it as "bacterial SSU rRNA". It matches the Rfam family "Bacterial small subunit ribosomal RNA", at positions 338 to 795 of the family's 1533-position model. The record is from RNAcentral. Lineage: Bacteria; Pseudomonadati; Pseudomonadota; Gammaproteobacteria; Enterobacterales; Enterobacteriaceae.
CCUACGGGAGGCAGCAGUGGGGAAUAUUGCACAAUGGGCGCAAGCCUGAUGCAGCCAUGCCGCGUGUGUGAAGAAGGCCUUCGGGUUGUAAAGCACUUUCAGCGGGGAGGAAGGCGGUGAGGUUAAUAACCUCAUCGAUUGACGUUACCCGCAGAAGAAGCACCGGCUAACUCCGUGCCAGCAGCCGCGGUAAUACGGAGGGUGCGAGCGUUAAUCGGGAUUACUGGGCGUAAAGCGCACGCAGGCGGUCUGUCAAGUCGGAUGUGAAAUCCCCGGGCUCAACCUGGGAACUGCAUUCGAAACUGGCAGGCUAGAGUCUUGUAGAGGGGGGUAGAAUUCCAGGUGUAGCGGUGAAAUGCGUAGAGAUCUGGAGGAAUACCGGUGGCGAAGGCGGCCCCCUGGACAAAGACUGACGCUCAGGUGCGAAAGCGUGGGGAGCAAACAGGAUUAGAUACCCUGGUAGUC